Non-coding RNA from Stegodyphus mimosarum, 73 nucleotides. NCBI's taxonomy places the organism in Eukaryota, Metazoa, Arthropoda, Arachnida, Araneae, Eresidae. The record is from Rfam.
GCCUUCUUGGUGUAGUGGUCAGCACGCUCCGCGCGAAUUCGAGAGGCCCGUGGUUCGAGUCUCGGUGAGGGCA